RNAcentral lists this ribosomal RNA (453 nucleotides) under uncultured fungus. RNAcentral describes it as "eukaryotic LSU rRNA". The stretch from base 282 to 453 matches the Rfam family "Eukaryotic large subunit ribosomal RNA", at positions 1 to 170 of the family's 3401-position model. Lineage: Eukaryota; Fungi. The record is from RNAcentral.
CGCACCUUGCGCCUCUUGGUAUUCCGAGGGGCAUGCCUGUNUGAGUGUCAUGGAAUUCUCAACCUCUAAGAUUUUUUUUCUUUUAGAAAUAAAAGAAUAAUCAAAGAGGCUUGGAUUUGGAGGUUGUGCUGGCUUUCUAGUCGGCUCCUCUUAAAUGUAUUAGUGCGAAACUUAUGGAUCGCUUUUUGGUGUGAUAAUUGUCUACGCCAUGGGUGUGAAGUAUAUUAUAGUUCGUGCUUCUAACAGUCCUUUACACACAAGGACAAUAUAACUCUGACAUCUGGCCUCAAAUCAGGUAGGACUACCCGCUGAACUUAAGCAUAUCAAUAAGCGGAGGAAAAGAAACUAACAAGGAUUCCCCUAGUAACUGCGAGUGAAGCGGGAAAAGCUCAAAUUUAAAAUCUGAUAGUCUUUGGCUGUCCGAGUUGUAACCUGGAGAAGCGUUUUCCGCGC